UCUUCAUUGACUUCAUAUUUACUAGUAAAAUAGAGUUCUUCUGAGAAUAGACUACUUUAUGUGAGAAUCAGACUCAAGCCUCAAAUAUCUCUUCCACAACACACACACACACCCACACCCCACCACAUACCUCUGCCUAUAACACAGACAACUAUUUUCUGUUUAUUAUGUUUAAUGGGCCCAGAAGAUACUUUACAAAUACUCAAGAACAUUUACAGCUUUAACUAUUUGAUCGAGUAAAUGCAAUUAGGACUUCUAACAAGUAAAUUCUUCCAUUGAGUACAGGGCAGGCCAGAAACCACUAACCUAAGAAUUAAAGUGACCUUUCAGUUCUAGUUUUACUACCAAAAAGUUGGUGACUUUAGGAAAGUCAAUCUCUUUAAACAUAAUGUUCCUUUCCCAUAAAUGAGAAGUUUGACUUUGAUACUAAGGUUUCUUCUAGUUCUGCAACUUUAUACUAAGAUGCUUUUCAAUUCUCAUACACUUCUGAUUCACUCAAUAUUCCAUAGCAUGUAAAUGAAUAAAGAAAUUUAUAAUCGGAAAAACUUGAUAUUCUCAAGGUUUCCCACCAUCACCACUAAAAUGAAGCACCUCAACAAGCACAUUAAUUUAUUUUAGGCAAGUUCUAGUUAAGAAGUUGUAAUUUGGAGCGGGUUAUAAAGUGGAGGAGAGGGCAGCCCUGGUUGCCCAAUGGUUUGGUGCCGCCUUCAGCCAGGGCGUGAUACUGGAGACCUGGGGUUGAGUCCCAGGUUGGGCUCCCUGCAUGGAGCCUACUUUUCCCUCUGCCUGUGUCUCUGCUUCUCUGUCUCUCAUGAAUAAAUAAAUAAAUAAUUUAUAAUAAUAAUAAUAAUAAUAAUAAUAAUAAUAAUAAUAAGGGCAGCCCCAGUGGCGCAGCAGUUUAGCGCCACCUGCAGCCUGGGGUGUGGUCCUGGAGACCCGGGAUGGAGUCCCACAUCAGGCUCCCUGCAUGGAGCCUGCUUCUCCCUCUGCCUGUGUCUCUGUCUCUGUCUCUCCCUCUCCAUGUUGUGUCUCACAUUAAUAAAUAAAAUCUAAAAUAAAUAAAUAAAUAAAUAAAAUAAAAUAACAAAGUGGAGGAGAGUCAAUGUGUUUAUGAGAGAGAAAGAGAGAGAGGGAGGGAGAGACAGGGAGAGAGAGAUAGAUUCCGGUUUCUCACAGCUCUACUUUCCAAAAUGAGGGACUUCUUAUCUCCUGGCCACUGACGGGAAACAAUGCUUCAUUUCAAAAAUUGUAGUAAAAUACACAUUUAAAGCAUUUUUAAAUGUUUAUUUCUGUGACAUUAAGUACAUUUACACUGUUGUGCAAACAUCACCACCAGUCUUUUCCAGACCUUUCAUCUUUCCCAUCUGGAACUCUAUACCCAUUAAUCAAUGACUCCUUGUUCCUUCCUUCCCUUAGCUUCUGGCAACCACUAUUCUACUUUUGUUUCUAUGAAUCUGACUAGUCUAGGUAUCUAAGUGGAAUUAUAUACUAUUUGUGCUUUGGAGACUGGAUUGUUCCACUUAAUAUCUUCAAGUUUAUCAUGUUGUAGCACGUGUUAGAAUUUUCUUUUCUUUAAAGGCUGAACAAUAUUCAAGGGCUCCAAAAUGGCUCAGAUUCCAAGUUGGUUUAUGAACCACUAAUACCAAUUCCAUCUCCAUUUCCAUGCUAACACAUACUCCAGGAAGAGUGCCAAGCUUUCACAGAAACAAAAUCAUUCAACUCCACAUUUAAGGCUUAGAGAUAGAAUUCUUUUACCAAUGGCUGAUAGGACAGACCUCAGCUCUUACUCUUUCUUGCAACAAACAACCUCUCAUUUUGAAUUUUGGAUUUGUAUUAGGUCCUGUUUAUUUUUACUUCAUUAUUAAAGCAACCCUCUGAAAUAGGCAGUAUUCAUUCCCAUUACACAUCAUUGCAAGGAUAUCUUCAUCUGUCCUCCAGUAGCUGACACUGAAUGGCAAAUCUGUAAACUCCAGAAGUCUACUAUAGAUUAGGCAUUGCUUAAUUAAGACUCAUUAUGGGGAUCCCUGGGUGGCGCAGCAGUUUGGCGCCUGCCUUUGGCCCAGGGCGCGAUCCUGGAGACCCGGGAUCGAAUCCCACAUCGGGCUCCCAGUGCAUGGAGCCUGCUUCUCCCUCUGCCUGUGUCUCUGCCUCUCUCUCUCUGUGACUAUCAUAAUAAAAAAAAAAUUUAAAAAAAAAAAGACUCAUUAUGUUAGGAGUUUUUGUGUAGUAGGCAGUAUUGUUCUGUGAGAUAUCAUCCAUUUCUGACUUCUCAGGGACAGCUACUACCAAACUGUUUUUGCCUUUUUAAAAAUGCUUUAUUGAGGUAUAAUUGACCAUAAGCUGCACAUAAUUAAAGUGCACAAUUUGAUUUUUUUCUAAUUGAAGUAUAGUUGACUGUAGUAAUUUAUAAAAAGAGUUAAAACACAGGGAAAGAAUAGCAAGAGACAAUGGAGAUCAUAAAAAAAAUCUUUAGGUAAAAAAUAUAACAGUAAAUCCAAUUAUUGACUAUAAGAAAAACAGAACUAAUUUUUCUUUAGCACAAGAACACACUCCAACUAAAUUAUAUGAAGUUAACAUAAAACAUUAGACAAGAAGUAUGAAAGCAGAUGAUGAAAGGCCAUUCUCAAUCAUGAAUGUAAAUGAAAAACCCUAUGCAAACUAUAAGCAAAGUGAGUCUAGCAUUGCAUAAAGAAAUAUUACAUUACCACAAAAUUAGGGUUAUUCCAUGAAUGCCACGUUGGUUUUGUAAAAUUUAUCCCAUUAAAGGUUUUAGAAAACUAGAAUAAGAAGGAAGGAAAUUUCCCUAAUCACUGAAUGAUAUCCAUAAAAAUUCUGUAGGAAAAUUUAUACUUAAAAAAAAAAAAAAAAAAAACAAAAAACACUAGCUCAGUGGUGGAGUAUCUGCCUUCCAACUCAGGGAGUGAUCCUAGGGCCCUGGGAUCAGUCCCACAUCAGGCUCCCUGCAGGGAGCCUGCUUCUUCCUCUGCCUAUGUCUCUGCUUCUCUCUCUGUGUCUCUCACAAAUAAAUAAAAUCUAAAUAUACUGUUAGUGUUUCACCAUUAAGACCAUGAGCUUACAUGGUUAUGGACAGUGUGCUGGAAUGCUGGCCAGUGCAGCAAAGCAAGAAGAAGCAAUAAAAGAAUAUAAGAAUUUACAAAGUUGUUGUGUACUAGUAAGUCAGUACACAAAAACAUUGCAUUUCUAUACAUCAACAGAACUAGAAAAUAGGAUUUUUAAAAAGAUGUAAACAGGGAUACCUUGGUUAAGGAAUGCAGAUAGUCAAAAGAUUUCGGUUCUUUCCAAACUGAUUUCUAGAUUCAGUGCUACUCAUUGACAUCCCAUGGGAGUAUCACUUAAACUCAUUAAUGUAUCAAAGUUAAUCCAAAUGACAAAUCCCCAAGGGUUGUUAGUAUAGGUGUUACUGCAAACUGAUGCCACCUUUGAGAAGUUUGGUGGUCCACCUCAGGCAUGCUUCUAGAAAUAGAAAUUUGCUAAUACUGAAGCAUAUAUCCAAAGACUUCCUAGACUCUACAUAUUUAAAGCCCAUUGAAAUACAUCACCUCUAUGUAAUAAGUAAAAUUUACCUUACCUUUAAUAAAAAAGUGACCUCAUCUUCAGAAGAAAGCAGCAAAGCUGUGAACAUAUACAUGCCAAUUCAGAUCCCCCCCCCUUUUUUUUGCCAUCUGGUGGCUAAAACCACUCUCUCUUCUUUCCUCUGAUACAUACUCUCAUAUUCUGAACUAACCUUUAUUUUAUCCAUUCUUAGAUUUUUAAAAUUUUUUGGUUUUUGUAUAUGAAAUGGGAAGAUCUUUCAUCUGUAUUUUUCUUCUUCCACUGGACUCAUGAUACUCUCCACAUCCACAUUAUAGCAAAACACUUCAUUCUUACACUUUUUUUAGAGACAGAGAGAGAGCACACAAGUGUGCAUGGGGGAGAUAGAGAAUCUUAACCAGGCUCCAUGCUGGGUGUAGAGUCCAACAUGGGGCUCAAUCCCACAACCUGAGAUCAUUUAACUCCAAAAUUAAGAGCAUGAAUUCUGGACACAAACUGCUGAAUAUGAAUCUUGACUUUACUAUAUUUGUGAUCUUGAAUGUUAAGUAUCUGCAAUGAAAGAUGUGUGAUAAGGCUCAAAGCAGUAAGGAGAGACACCCUUGGGGUUAGUAAAUAAUUGGUGAUUUACAAAGUAGUUCAGUUGAUUAAUUAUAUAAUAAAGAAGAAACAUUUUUAAGCCCCAAAAGUCCAGCUUCUUGAAACAGUAUUUCCUGGGUCCUUCAUAUACAUUUCCAUACUUUUAGAAGAUACCUUUUAGUAAUACAUAGAGUGGAAAUUGGAACUUUUUAGUGAUGAUUCACCAAAUACUACAGAUAUAAAAUAUCUAAAAUUUUUUCAGUUUAGAGAGAGCAAAUGUUUAAAUUUAAAUUUUUUGAAAAUUUAAAAAUAUGAAGUUUUAUUUUAGGAACUUAAGAAGUAUUUUUGCUAUAAUCCAAUAUUGAUCUGUAAGGUAGAAAAGUGCUACACUACCUUCCUUUGCAGUCUGGCUAAUCUGAAGAAUUUAUCAAGCCCUUCUGCCUCUAUAAUACCGAUCUUGCCAAUAUUCUAAUGCUUAAUGAAUUGUUUCUUCUUUUUUCUUAUACUACCCCAAAUGGCAAUGUAUCAGGAUACUGUGAUAUAUUGCUCUCAGACUUGACAUUGGACAAAUCCAUAUCUGGAUAGUUCUGAGCUAGAUACUAUUUAAUCAAUUCCAUGCAAAAUCAGUUUGUGUAUUAUCAACUUAGGGUCAAACCUGAAAAUUACCUUAGAUACCACCGCUAUUAAGAAUAUGGUUCUAAUGCUCACUUCAGCAGCACAUAUACUAAGAAUAUGUUUCUAUGGCCCCUGAAACUAUAUGCAAAGUUUUUAGAUGGGUCCUAAACACUUACUAACAGAAUGACCUGAAAACAAUCUUCUCAAAAAUCUGGAAGUUUGGGGAUCCCUGGGUGGCGCAGCAGUUUGGCGCCUGCCUUUGGCCCAGGGCGCGAUCCUGGAGACCCCGGGAUCGAAUCCCACAUCGGGCUCCCGGUGCAUGGAGCCUGCUUCUCCCUCUCCCUCUGCCUGUGUCUCUGCCUCUCUCUCUCUCUCUCUCUGUGACUAUCAUAAAUAAAUAGAUAAAAAAAUAAAAAAAUUGUUAAAUAAAAUCUGGAAGUUUAAGAUUUCUGUAACAUUAAAAAAAAAAUUCUGUAACAUACUCAUUUUAUGCUUCUGAAGUCUUACCAUACACCCAAUCUAGAAUGACUACAGCAUUUUAAUUUUUAUAGAGGUAUCUGAAAAGCUUUAAGAACUCAUCCCCUUUACACAUAUCUGAUUUGUGGUUAAGAUGGAUUAUCUCCAAUGUUGCACAGGCUUUUCUGUCACAAAUCAACCUGGAUGUUAACCUACCUAUACUUUGAUUCUAUAAAUACUCUCUCUCCCAUAAUUCACUGCUAUUUAAUUAAUAUUCUCAGCUCUAGGUUACUUUGUACUUUGGAAUUUCUACUUUGUACUCCUGACUUCCUUUUUCUCCUUUGGCACUGCACACAAACUAGGUUCAAUUCUGGUAGCGGACUUUUUAUUCUUGGUUUGGAGAUAUGCCUUUAACUGUGCAUUAAGGAAUAUCCCUAGUCCUGUCACCCAGUGGAGGUUCCAGAGAACUUGGUCAAGACAUGAUACUUCUAAAAAAUAGAUUUACAGAUACUGGGGAGAGGAGAGGGUUAGAAUUUUAGUCUGUGAAUAUAUAUUUAGAUGCCAGAUUUUUAGAGUAAGGCUGCCAGCUUUUCAUAGAAGAUCUAUGUACUAAAAUCAUCAUACUAGUAUCAACAGAAGAAACAGGAAUAUACAUUCUCUUAUCCUGAAAGACAUAUACAAACCCCUUCCUCAGAACAAGAGACUAUCACUCCCUACCUUUUAAAAGGUAAAAAAAAAAAAAAAAAAAAA
Molecule: long non-coding RNA, 5949 nt
Filed under: Canis lupus familiaris (dog)
Lineage: Eukaryota; Metazoa; Chordata; Mammalia; Carnivora; Canidae
Description: lncRNA (ENSCAFG00845000115.1)
Source: RNAcentral